RNAcentral lists this ribosomal RNA (982 nucleotides) under Blidingia dawsonii. Its description in RNAcentral is "bacterial SSU rRNA". The stretch from base 1 to 382 matches the Rfam family "Eukaryotic small subunit ribosomal RNA", at positions 1447 to 1831 of the family's 1831-position model. Lineage: Eukaryota; Viridiplantae; Chlorophyta; Ulvophyceae; Ulvales; Ulvaceae. The record is from RNAcentral.
GAGGCAAUAACAGGUCUGUGUGAUGCCCUUAGAUGUUCUGGGCCGCACGCGCGCUACACUGAUACGUUCAACAAGUUCCUAGGCCGAAAGGUCCGGGUAAUCUUUGAAACCGUAUCGUGAUGGGGAUAGAACGUUGCAAUUAUUGUUCUUCAACGAGGAAUGCCUAGUAAGCGCGAGUCAUCAUCUCGCGUUGAUUACGUCCCUGCCCUUUGUACACACCGCCCGUCGCUCCUACCGAUUGAACGUGCUGGUGAAGCGUUAGGACUGGACUACCGAUUAGGUCUCCUAGUUGGUCGUUCGGGAAUUUCGUUGAACCCUCCCGUUUAGAGGAAGGAGAAGCCGUAACAAGGUCUCCGUAGGUGAACCUGCGGAGGGAUCAUUGAAACCAUCGUAUCCACACGUGAACCGCAACCACUGCCGCGCGGGCGAAAGCCCUGCGUCCGCCACGGGCGGGAGCCCGUGUCGGGGGGGUGGCGCCCUGUGCGCCCCCUUGGCCUGAUCCGUUUUUCCCACCGGACGAAGCCGAUUGCCUGAAGCUUGACGUGUGCGGGGCCUCCCCGCCGCGACUAAUUGAGACAACUCUCAACAACGGAUAUCUUGGCUCUCGCAACGAUGAAGAACGCAGCGAAAUGCGAUACGUAGUGUGAAUUGCAGAAUUCCGUGAAUCAUCGAAUCUUUGAACGCAUAUUGCGGUGGUGCCUCGGUAUCACCAUGUCUGCCUCAGCGUCGGAGUACCCCCCUCACCCCCCCUUCCCCCGGGAAGGGCGCGGUGGACCUGGCCUCCCGAGGCGGACGCGCUCGCGCGCCCGCUCGGCUGGCUGAAGUGCAGAGGAGCACGCUCGGGCCUGUAUGGCACCGGCAAGGUAGGUAGCUCGACUACUCCUGCCGACGCCUUGGGCUCGCGGCUGCUCCCGCANAAACUCUUCUCUUCUCGACCUGAGAUCAGGCAGGCUACCCGCUGAACUUAAGCAUAUCAAUAAGC